AGGCCUCCAUCAGGCAGCUUCCAGGACCCUCUAUGACUGCGUUACUGGAACUUCAAUGUGAAGAUGAGGACAUAAAGGCCUACCGGCAAGGCGCAUGGUCAGCCAGCACCCGAAGGCCUUUAAAGCUGUUGCUAGCCUCUAUUACAUCUGUACACUUGGAAGUCAUUAAAGUCCAAACUUGGAAGUCGUCAACAAAAUCUCAACCCAAGCGCAGCAGUGGAUCAAAUGGAUGAUUAGUUUUCAGCAUCAAAAGAACACCUGCUGCCUCCAUCAGUUCAACUCAUCCAUUAUGCAGCACGCUUGUAGCUACGGCUCCAGAAGCAGCAGCUUUGAAGCCAUGAAAAACCCAGACCGAGGAGCAAGAAACAAGCAAGCAACAUUGCAUUAUCAAAUAAAUGAGCAACAUCAUUUUCUUUGCUGUUCAUUUCUGGGCGAAACAAACACUAGGAACAAUUAGAUUAAGCAUCUGGUUCAAAUACAGACAGGAAUAAAAGAAAUUGCCUUCAACAAAACUCAUUUUUUAGCCUUGUAGCAAGUAAAUUCCUGAAAGGAGAAGAAAAUCCAACAACUAUUUUAAUUGCUGUUACUUUUAUUUUUACUGUUAGU
Numida meleagris (helmeted guineafowl) is the source of this 606-nucleotide long non-coding RNA. RefSeq lists it as uncharacterized. The record is from RefSeq and is a predicted model, not a curated record. NCBI's taxonomy places the organism in Eukaryota, Metazoa, Chordata, Aves, Galliformes, Numididae. The transcript is spliced from 3 exons.